AUUUUGAACUCCCUCCAAAUUCUCCCUCCUUCCCCAUUUUAGCCAUAUUUUAGGUUUCCCCAAAUAAUUAUAAAUAUUAGUGAAAAGCUACCUCCGAACUCCCAAAUUAACCGCUUCUCACCAUUGACGACAAUUCGGUGCAGCAGUCCAUCGAACGCCCACAUCUACUCUCUUAUCGACCGCCAAUCACCACCACGCCACACAGAAAAAAACCAAUUUAGAACCUAUUUUAGUGACCCUGAAAUCCCGAAAUCUCAUACAUGUCAUUGGAAUCGAUUCUUUUGAUAUAUUUUUGCAGGUUUUUGGAUAUACAUUAAUAGUUUUUAUUAGCUUAAACAACAUUCAGGCAACACCCAUCGAAGUGUCUUCAAUACAUCAACAUUUGAGGUUUCAAGGCCUACUUUAUAUGAAGGUGGGAUAUGGUCUUGUUUGGAAUCUUUUUGGGGUUGUCCUUUCACCUGGACGGUUAACUACUAUGGGAGCUGAGAGAACCAAUGUGCAUCAAUAAACAAUCUUUAGGUAUCCCUGGCUUAACGACAUUUGGACCUUUCAGUUCCCUCUCGUUCUCUAGAUUAUUAGGAAAAUCACACCAAUUGCUACUUUUGUAUAUGCUCAUUUUCAAGUAAUCAUAAUCCAUAUAUUUUUGCUUUUGUCGUCCA
Long non-coding RNA from Lactuca sativa (garden lettuce), 659 nucleotides. RefSeq lists it as uncharacterized. Lineage: Eukaryota; Viridiplantae; Streptophyta; Magnoliopsida; Asterales; Asteraceae. The record is from RefSeq and is a predicted model, not a curated record.